GACGAGCACCCCUGCCUUUGGUGCCGCGAGCACCCCUGCAUUUGGUGCUGCGAGCACACCAGCAUUUGGUGCCCCAAGCACACCAGCUUUUGGGGCCACAAGCACACCAGCAUUUGGCGCCACUAGCACCCCGGCAUUUGGCGCUGCAAGCACCCCAGCCUUUGGUGCGGCAAGCACCCCAGCCUUUGGCGCUACAAGCAGUCCUGCCUUUGGUUCAACAAGCACACCUGCCUUUGGUAGUACUGGGAAUGCAUUUGGUUCAC
RNAcentral lists this unclassified non-coding RNA (263 nucleotides) under Hevea brasiliensis (rubber tree). The record is from RNAcentral. Lineage: Eukaryota; Viridiplantae; Streptophyta; Magnoliopsida; Malpighiales; Euphorbiaceae.